This 21-nucleotide non-coding RNA is filed under the name Arabidopsis thaliana (thale cress). The record is from RNAcentral. RNAcentral also lists the same sequence under 8 other names. Lineage: Eukaryota; Viridiplantae; Streptophyta; Magnoliopsida; Brassicales; Brassicaceae.
UACCUGGUUGAUCCUGCCAGU